CGCUGUGAAGAUGCAGUGUACCCGCGGCAAGACGGAAAGACCCCGUGAACCUUUACUAUAGCUUGACACUGAACAUUGAGCCUUGAUGUGUAGGAUAGGUGGGAGGCUUUGAAGUGUGGACGCCAGUCUGCAUGGAGCCGACCUUGAAAUACCACCCUUUAAUGUUUGAUGUUCUAACGUGGACCCGUGAUCCGGGUUGCGGACAGUGUCUGGUGGGUAGUUUGACUGGGGCGGUCUCCUCCUAAAGAGUAACGGAGGAGCACGAAGGUUGGCUAAUCCUGGUCGGACAUCAGGAGGUUAGUGCAAUGGCAUAAGCCAGCUUGACUGCGAGCGUGACGGCGCGAGCAGGUGCGAAAGCAGGUCAUAGUGAUCCGGUGGUUCUGAAUGGAAGGGCCAUCGCUCAACGGAUAAAAGGUACUCCGGGGAUAACAGGCUGAUACCGCCCAAGAGUUCAUAUCGACGGCGGUGUUUGGCACCUCGAUGUCGGCUCAUCACAUCCUGGGGCUGAAGUAGGUCCCAAGGGUAUGGCUGUUCGCCAUUUAAAGUGGUACGCGAGCUGGGUUUAGAACGUCGUGAGACAGUUCGGUCCCUAUCUGCCGUGGGCGCUGGAGAACUGAGGGGGGCUGCUCCUAGUACGAGAGGACCGGAGUGGACGCAUCACUGGUGUUCGGGUUGUCAUGCCAAUGGCACUGCCCGGUAGCUAAAUGCGGAAGAGAUAAGUGCUGAAAGCAUCUAAGCACGAAACUUGCCCCGAGAUGAGUUCUCCCUGAGACUUAGAGUCUCCUGAAGGAACGUUGAAGACGACGACGUUGAUAGGCCGGGUGUGUAAGCGCAGCGAUGCGUUGAGCUAACCGGUACUAAUGAACCGUGAGGCUUAACCUUACAACGCCGAAG
This 894-nucleotide ribosomal RNA is filed under the name Salmonella enterica. RNAcentral describes it as "partial 23S ribosomal RNA". It matches the Rfam family "Bacterial large subunit ribosomal RNA", at positions 2049 to 2925 of the family's 2925-position model. The record is from RNAcentral. Lineage: Bacteria; Pseudomonadati; Pseudomonadota; Gammaproteobacteria; Enterobacterales; Enterobacteriaceae.